GAACGGGUGAGUAAUACAUAAGCCUAUCAGCCCUAGACAGGGGGAUAACUGCUGGAAACGGCAGCUAAGACCGCAUAGGUAUGGACACUGCAUGGUGACCAUAUUAAAAGUGCCAAGGCACUGGUAGAGGAUGGACUUAUGGCGCAUUAGCUGGUUGGUGAGGUAACGGCUCACCAAGGCGACGAUGCGUAGCCGACCUGAGAGGGUGACCGGCCACACUGGGACUGAGACACGGCCCAGACUCCUACGGGAGGCAGCAGUAGGGAAUUUUCGGCAAUGGGGGGAACCCUGACCGAGCAACGCCGCGUGAAGGAAGAAGGAAUUCGUUCUGUAAACUUCUGUUAUAAAGGAAGAACGGCGGAUAUAGGGAAUGAUAUCCGAGUGACGGUACUUUAUGAGAAAGCCACGGCUAACUACGUGCCAGCAGCCGCGGUAAUACGUAGGUGGCGAGCGUUAUCCGGAAUUAUUGGGCGUAAAGAGGGAGCAGGCGGCGGCAGAGGUCUGUGGUGAAAGACUGAAGCUUAACUUCAGUAAGCCAUAGAAACCGGGCUGCUAGAGUGCAGGAGAGGAUCGUGGAAUUCCAUGUGUAGCGGUGAAAUGCGUAGAUAUAUGGAGGAACACCAGUGGCGAAGGCGACGGUCUGGCCUGUAACUGACGCUCAUUCCCGAAAGCGUGGGGAGCAAAUAGGAUUAGAUACCCUAGUAGUCCA
Molecule: ribosomal RNA, 709 nt
Filed under: uncultured bacterium
Lineage: Bacteria
Description: bacterial SSU rRNA
Rfam family: Bacterial small subunit ribosomal RNA
Source: RNAcentral